GGGUAAGCAUGUAUUUAGCCAUAUAACCAAAGAAAAGAAAAAUAACAAGCAAAGAAAUUGCACAUCACACCAGAAAAUGAACAAGCCAUUGUUAAUAACUCUUAAUGACAUUCCAGCGGAAAAUUACUACAGUAGGUGCAACUUGAGAAAAGAGUGGGGAAGAAGAAAUACUACUAGAUAAGGUGAAAAGGGAGAAAAAAAGUCAAGCUUUCUUGCAAAUUCAAGAAGACAUGCAGGCAUUAUUCUGCGAGAAUUGGUUUCUGAACGAAUCUAAACUGGAACCGUCCGGCUAUUAUGUGAACCUUGCUCUCCAGGUUGAUUAUCGUCCUCGUUCUCACCUGACAAGUCCUCCAAAGAUUUUCCUUUUGAUUCAGGGACCAAGAAGGUGAAUAGGAUUCCCAAGAAGUUGAUUACACCCAACACAAUAAGUGAAUUCCUCACACCAAUGCCUGCAGGGUAUCCUGCAUCUGCCUUGGCCUUGUCCUUGUUCUGAGCCAAAUAUAAGAACCCAAAUGCACCAACUAUAGCCCCAAGCUUUCCAGAUGCGGCUGAUAUACCAUGACAAGUAGAUCUUAAUCUUGCAGGGAAAAUCUCGGCUGGCACAACGAAUGUGGUGGCAUUAGGUCCAAAGUUUGCAAAGAAGAAGGUUAAUGAGUACAUCACCACAAACCCAAUUCGGUUGUCCCUGUGUGUCCAAUGAUUGUAAGGAAUAGCCAAUGCAAACAUGAACACUGUCAUGAAG
Molecule: unclassified non-coding RNA, 742 nt
Filed under: Hevea brasiliensis (rubber tree)
Lineage: Eukaryota; Viridiplantae; Streptophyta; Magnoliopsida; Malpighiales; Euphorbiaceae
Source: RNAcentral